Molecule: ribosomal RNA, 462 nt
Filed under: uncultured bacterium
Lineage: Bacteria
Description: partial 16S ribosomal RNA
Rfam family: Bacterial small subunit ribosomal RNA
Source: RNAcentral
GACGAACGCUGGCGGCGUGCUUAACACAUGCAAGUCGAACGGAAAGGCCCUUCGGGGUACUCGAGUGGCGAACGGGUGAGUAACACGUGGGUGAUCUGCCCUGCACUUUGGGAUAAGCCUGGGAAACUGGGUCUAAUACCGAAUAGGACCACGCGCUUCACGGUGUGUGGGGGAAAGCUUUUGCGGUGUGGGAUGGGCCCGCGGCCUAUCAGCUUGUUGGUGGGGUAAUGGCUCACCAAGGCGACGACGGGUAGCCGGCCUGAGAGGGUGACCGGCCACACUGGGACUGAGAUACGGCCCAGACUCCUACGGGAGGCAGCAGUGGGGAAUAUUGCACAAUGGGCGCAAGCCUGAUGCAGCGACGCCGCGUGAGGGAUGACGGCCUUCGGGUUGUAAACCUCUUUCAAUAGGGACGAAGCGCAAGUGACGGUACCUAUAGAAGAAGCACCGGCCAACUACGUG